UUGUUCUUAAUAGCAUUUGACUGAGCCC
This 28-nucleotide non-coding RNA is filed under the name Rattus norvegicus (Norway rat). The record is from RNAcentral. Lineage: Eukaryota; Metazoa; Chordata; Mammalia; Rodentia; Muridae.